UGCAUGGGUAUCGACUAGCCAUGCGAGUCAAUGUUCUUCGUGAACAUGGCGUACUGCUCAGUAACACGUGGAUAACCUGCCCUUAGGACUGGCAUAACCCCGGGAAACUGGGGAUAAUUCCGGAUAGUUCAUGGUAGCUGGAAUGCUCCAUGAUCGAAAGCUAUUGCGCCUAAGGAUGGGUCUGCGGUCUAUCAGGUAGUAGUGGGUGUAAUGUACCUACUAGCCGACGACGGAUACGGGUUGUGGGAGCAAGAGCCCGGAGAUGGAUUCUGAGACAUGAAUCCAGGCCCUACGGGGCGCAGCAGGCGCGAAAACUUUACAAUGCGGGAAACCGCGAUAAGGGGACACCGAGUGCCAGCAUCUUAUGUUGGCUGUCCGCAUGUAUAAAUCACAUGUGUUAGCAAGGGCCGGGCAAGACCGGUGCCAGCCGCCGCGGUAACACCGGCGGCCCGAGUGGUGGCCACUAUUAUUGGGUCUAAAGGGUCCGUAGCCGGUUUGGUCAGUCUUCCGGGAAAUCUGACGGCUUAACCGUUAGGCUUUCGGGGGAUACUACCAGGCUUGGGACCGGGAGAGGUAAGAGGUACUACGGGGGUAGGAGUGAAAUCUUGUAAUCCUCGUGGGACCACCAGUGGCGAAGGCGUCUUACCAGAACGGGUCCGACGGUGAGGGACGAAAGCUGGGGGCACGAACCGGAUUAGAUACCCGGGUAGUCCCAGCCGUAAACUAUGCUCGCUAGGUGUCAGGGACGGUGCGACCGUUUCUGGUGCCGCAGGGAAGCCGUGAAGCGAGCCACCUGGGAA
This 800-nucleotide ribosomal RNA is filed under the name uncultured archaeon. Its description in RNAcentral is "bacterial SSU rRNA". It matches the Rfam family "Archaeal small subunit ribosomal RNA", at positions 28 to 834 of the family's 1478-position model. The record is from RNAcentral.